This 253-nucleotide ribosomal RNA is filed under the name uncultured bacterium. RNAcentral's name for it is "partial 16S ribosomal RNA". It matches the Rfam family "Bacterial small subunit ribosomal RNA", at positions 524 to 776 of the family's 1533-position model. The record is from RNAcentral.
UACGUAGGGUGCGAGCGUUGUCCGGAAUUAUUGGGCGUGAAGAGCUUGUAGGCGGUUUGUCGCGUCUGCUGUGAAAAUCCGGGGCUCAACCCCGGACUUGCAGUGGGUACGGGCAGGCUAGAGUGUGGUAGGGGAGACUGGAAUUCCUGGUGUAGCGGUGAAAUGCGCAGAUAUCAGGAGGAACACCGAUGGCGAAGGCAGGUCUCUGGGCCACUACUGACGCUGAGAAGCGAAAGCAUGGGGAGCGAACAGG